This 468-nucleotide ribosomal RNA is filed under the name uncultured bacterium. RNAcentral's name for it is "partial 16S ribosomal RNA". It matches the Rfam family "Bacterial small subunit ribosomal RNA", at positions 28 to 507 of the family's 1533-position model. The record is from RNAcentral.
GACGAACGCUGGCGGCGUGCUUAACACAUGCAAGUCGAACGGAAAGGCCCUGCUUUUGUGGGGUGCUCGAGUGGCGAACGGGUGAGUAACACGUGAGUAACCUGCCCUUGACUUUGGGAUAACUUCUGGAAACUGGGGCUAAUACCGGAUAGGAGCUCCUGAUGCAUGGUGGGGGUUGGAAAGUUUCGGCGGUUGGGGAUGGACUCGCGGCUUAUCAGCUUGUUGGUGGGGUAGUGGCUUACCAAGGCUUUGACGGGUAGCCGGCCUGAGAGGGUGACCGGCCACAUUGGUACUGAGAUACGGCCCAGACUCCUACGGGAGGCAGCAGGGGGGAAUAUUGCACAAUGGGCGGAAGCCUGAUGCAGCAACGCCGCGUGCGGGAUGACGGCCUUCGAGUUGUAAACCGCUUUCUCCUGUGACGAAGCGUGAGUGACGGUAAUGGGUAAAGAAGCACCGGCUAACUACGUG